Molecule: ribosomal RNA, 1378 nt
Filed under: Providencia rettgeri
Lineage: Bacteria; Pseudomonadati; Pseudomonadota; Gammaproteobacteria; Enterobacterales; Morganellaceae
Description: partial 23S ribosomal RNA
Rfam family: Bacterial large subunit ribosomal RNA
Source: RNAcentral
AUACAUAGUCAAACGAAGCGAACCGGGGGAACUGAAACAUCUCAGUACCCCGAGGAAAAGAAAUCAACCGAGAUUCCCCUAGUAGCGGCGAGCGAACGGGGAGCAGCCCAGAGUCUUAAUCAGCAUUAGUAUCAGGAGAACGGUCUGGAAAGUCCGGCAGUAAAGGGUGAUAGCCCCGUAUCUGAAGAUAUUAGUGUUGUGAACUCGACGAGUAGGGCGGGACACGUGUUAUCCUGUCUGAAUAUGGGGGGACCAUCCUCCAAGGCUAAAUACUCCUGAUUGACCGAUAGUGAACCAGUACCGUGAGGGAAAGGCGAAAAGAACCCCGGCGAGGGGAGUGAAAUAGAACCUGAAACCGUGUACGUACAAGCAGUGGGAGCCUUGAUUUAUCAGGGUGACUGCGUACCUUUUGUAUAAUGGGUCAGCGACUUAUAUUCUGUAGCAAGGUUAACCGUAUAGGGGAGCCGUAGGGAAACCGAGUCUUAACUGGGCGAAUGAGUUGCAGGGUAUAGACCCGAAACCCGGUGAUCUAGCCAUGGGCAGGUUGAAGGUUGGGUAACACUAACUGGAGGACCGAACCGACUAAUGUUGAAAAAUUAGCGGAUGACUUGUGGCUGGGGGUGAAAGGCCAAUCAAACCGGGAGAUAGCUGGUUCUCCCCGAAAGCUAUUUAGGUAGCGCCUCGUGAACUCAUCUUCGGGGGUAGAGCACUGUUUCGACUAGGGGGUCAUCCCGACUUACCAACUCGAUGCAAACUACGAAUACCGAAGAAUGUUAUCACGGGAGACACACGGCGGGUGCUAACGUUCGUCGUGAAGAGGGAAACAACCCAGACCGCCAGCUAAGGUCCCAAAGUCAUAGUUAAGUGGGAAACGAAGUGGGAAGGCUCAGACAGCCAGGAUGUUGGCUUAGAAGCAGCCAUCAUUUAAAGAAAGCGUAAUAGCUCACUGGUCGAGUCGGCCUGCGCGGAAGAUGUAACGGGGCUAAACUAUGCACCGAAGCUGCGGCAGCGAUAUGUAAAUAUUGUUGGGUAGGGGAGCGUUCUGUAAGCCUGUGAAGGUGUACUGUGAGGUAUGCUGGAGGUAUCAGAAGUGCGAAUGCUGACAUAAGUAACGAUAAUGCGGGUGAAAAACCCGCACGCCGGAAGACCAAGGGUUCCUGUCCAACGUUAAUCGGGGCAGGGUGAGUCGACCCCUAAGGCGAGGCAGAAAUGCGUAGUCGAUGGGAAACGGGUUAAUAUUCCCGUACUGGUGAUAAUUGCGAUGGGGGGACGGAGAAGGCUAGGCUGGCCGGGCGACGGUUGUCCCGGUUUAAGGAUGUAGGCAGGUGAAUUAGGCAAAUCCGGUUCACUAUAUGCUGAGGUCUGAUGACGAGUCACU